RNA transcript from Polyodon spathula (Mississippi paddlefish), 4109 nucleotides. It is a transcript of the gene named phosphatidylserine decarboxylase proenzyme, mitochondrial-like, with no coding region annotated. The transcript is spliced from 2 exons. The record is from RefSeq and is a predicted model, not a curated record. NCBI's taxonomy places the organism in Eukaryota, Metazoa, Chordata, Actinopteri, Acipenseriformes, Polyodontidae.
UUUAGUGGUUUUGCUGCCAAGCACUGGGGGCGCGGUCUUUUCCAUGUAAAAACAAACCCUCGCCCAGGAUUCACAGAAACAGACGGUUACAUACCUGCUGUAGAAAGUCACUCGCAGGUCAACGCAUGCCUUCUGCAGAGUGUGGGAGGAAUACUGCGGCAGUGUGCAGCACCACUGCAGCUUAGUCCUUGAACAUGCAACAUACGCAAACGGCAAACAACAUCACUGCCCCUGAUGCAGAAGCUGCUGCACAUGUGCGAGGAUAGAUUGGUUGCCAUUACCCCAACUUUACAAUAUUGCAAUUCUCACAUUUGAUUUUGUGUUACCCUUAGUGUGUAUAAACAGAAAUGUCUGAUACAAACAGUGCUUUCAUUAUACUGUACCCAGGCAAUAUAUCACUCCAAGCACAACAUAACCCCUAUAUCCUUUAUAAAAAUACCAUUCCAAUAAUAUUCAAGAGCUUUAGUGAACGGUUACAAAAGUGGUCUUUAACUGCAGCACACGUAGCUUGCUUGUAAAGGGUUUUAAAAGCAUUCCCUGCGUGUCAGUGAAGCAGAGCCGCUCUGUUGUCUGUGAAAGGAGGCUUGUUUUGGUGGAGAGGCUGCAGCUCUCUGGCCAGUGAAAAUGCUUUGUUUUGUGCCUUUUGAAAGUGUGUGUUUGUAUUUUGUGUUGUUGUUGUUUCCCUGGGCGGAUGUUAACUGGACAAGCUGUUAAAGCGUGUUUUGGAUGCUGGGGUACAGUGUGCUGACACAGACAGCAGUGCUUUCACUGUAUCUACCCUUUUCAUAUCCCGUUCAAUAAACCCAUACUGUGAAUAUCCAGUAUCUCAAUGCAAGUGUGAGAGUCCUGUGAAAGGAUGAGUGAUGUGCAGAGGGCUUUGAUCGACAUACUUUCAGUGUGUGUGUGUGUGUGUGCGCGCUUGCGUGUCUGUUUCUAAAGCUGCAUUUCCACGAUGCACAAAGAGUGCCAUCAUGAAUCAGCCGGUCUGAGAUGCCCCAUCUUACUGUACUCUGGUCUGCUGUACAUGCAAAGAGGUCACAGCGAAACAACACAAGCAUCUGAGCGGAAUUAAUCUCUAGCUGGCUCUGGAGCUGUCUGCGCAGUUCUGCAUUACGACAGGCUGUAUUACAGUGGACUUCCUGCUUGUAUUGUUUAAUUGCUGUGCUUUUAAAACUUGGCAGUUAAACAGAGGGAGUGCUUUAUUUAAGAUGGAAAGACCUAGAACGGUGGCUCCACAAUGCGUGGUUUGAAGUGGAAGAUCACGCUGUACCUUUAUUGCACAAGCCCCAGGCACUGCUGUGGCCUGCUGUGUUUGUUUAAGCUGUUUAUUUUUAUCAGAAGGAUGCACUUUGUGCUCCAUGGUGUGUGCAACGUUUGUUUUUUAUCAAGCAAAGCACUUUUAUGGGCAGCUUCGUUUCUGAAGUGUCGGUGAUGUUUCGGGAUUGGGCAGUGAGUUCUAGAAGGUCACAUUAACAGUGGCAAUGCUGUGUGCACGAUACACCGAGGGGAACAACACGUCUGCAUGACUGAUUGAUGAAAACACCAGAUCUUAAAAUGACACUUGACAGAUUUGGCAGGCAGGCAGGGGGACGAGGUGUGCGGUGGUGGUGUGUUCGGUCGAUUUCCCGGAAAUUCAAGCACUUCUAGAUCAAUCCCUGCUUAAAAAUACAUUAUUCCCACUUUCUUCAGACAAGCGCAUCACUGCUCCCGAAUUGAAAAAGUUAUUUUUUGUUUUUUUGAAGAUGACAUAAUGUUAGUGACGGUGAAUCAGAAGCGGUUUUUAAGUUACCAAAUAUUGCAUCGGCGUGUCCGAGAGGGAUUUUACUGGCUGUUGUGGGAGCCUUGGGGAUUGCGUCAGUUAGACCCAGUUCCUCUUUUCAUGAUUAAUUGCAUCAGAUUGAUGGAGUCCCUGCUGAGACAGUAUUGUGCAAUAAAAUAUUAAAGUUUAAUCAGUAUGUUGGGAUUCAAACAGUCAUUUGUGCUUUUCUGCUUACUGGAGCUGUACAUGUCAUGGCUGUUUCUGUCAUUUGGCAAGAAGGCUUUCUUAUAUCAUUCUUGUGUAAUUGUUUUAUUACAUUUAAUUGGGUUUUUCUUUAAAUACCCUUUUUAAUAAGAUAAGCUAUAUGUGUAUUUGAAAGAAAAGGAGCAUGCUAAAAUGUUCUUGAAUUGACGUUGUGUUAUAGGCUGAAGUAAAUAUACAGAAUGUCGUAAAAAAAGUCAAGCAGCCACCAGGUAUCUGCUGUUAAGCUUAUAUAUUUAUUAUUAUAAUCUCAUUGUGAAUUAAAACAGUGACGCGCAUUCACGCAGACGUGUAGAGGCCACUGGCCUUCGUCAAUGCACUAACAGAAUUGUGUUACUGCACUGAUGAAAGCUAUGUGUGUAACAAUCAUUAGCCAAGUAAAAAGAUUCAGACUUGCUGUCAGGCUGAACACGCACAGGCACGUAGAAAAAUUGUGCAGUGGUCUAUUCCAGCAACUCGAUUGCCAGUCGAAAAUGUGUUUAAACUCAAGCUGUCAAUUUGAGAUGCCAAGAAAAAAUUGCUUAAAUUGCUUGUGUGUCUCCGGCCUUAGACCUGUGCUAUGUGGAAGAUUUAGAUAUUUGAAAAAAGUAUGUGUUUUUCCUUCUUUGAAAGAUUUCCCAACAGUAGAGAAAUCUGCCGUAGGGGAGGGUGGAACAUGUUAUCCUCAAUUUCCAACUCAUCCCCUCUCCACCGCACAGCUCACCCCUCCAGCUGUGCUCUGCACCCUCUGACCCCUUCAAGGGGAAGUGUGUUUGCUCGUCAUGCAGUAGGAAGGGCAGGGCCUGUAUAAAUAGCGCUUCCUGCAGUACGCCACAGCUCUGUUCACUGAAUGAGAGUGUGUGAGUCCGUUAGUCAGCCACAACAGCUGCUAGAAGUUUCUGGGCUGGGCUGAAGUUUGGAAAGGAGUCAGGAGAACUUUCUCUGUGUGGAGCUUACUAAGCACCCAGCACCCUCUGCCUUCCUCAACUCUUUGUGUGACUUUAAUAUUUCAAGCUUUAGAGAUCUUUUAGAUCAGUUUGCUAAACCAUCAGAAAGGUUACACUUCCCCCAGCUGGCUCUGAGACGCAGGCUGGGUCAGCUGAGCUGUAUGUCCAAGCCUGCCCUGAAGCUGCGCUCCUGGCCUCUCUCCUUCCUCUAUUACUUCCUGCCCUUCGGUGCUCUUAAACCCCUCUCCAAAGUGGGAUGGAGGCCGAGCAGCAGGGUAAGUGUUCUCCUCCCCGGGACGCGCCUGUAUUUACUGUACAUGCGAGUAUCGCUGCACUGCCUCUGUGUCUGCCUCUGUUACCCCAGCAUCCAGAACUCUCACGCAAACCUAAACAAAUAAUUCAUCCGCUUUUUUACUUCCUUAGUGUGCCUCGUUUCCACCGGCCAAAAAAAAUGUUGUGAAGUUUAGAUUUGCCGAAGCUGCGGCUCCAAAGCCAUGCGUUUUGUUUUUUUGGUUUGUUUUCUCCUAGGUCCUCUGUUUUGUACUGCUGUAAAACAUGAGCAAGAAAUGUUCAUGCUUAAGUAAGGCCUUGCUUUAAAUGACUUGCUGUAGCUGUUUUUCUCUCAUCAGGUUUAAACCAGGUUAAGCUGUAUAUGGUUGAUUCUUCAGCCCCCCUGCACUAUAGUUCAUUGUAGUUCUUAAAUGCCAUACAGCGCAUGAUUCACAUGAUUCUCUUAGCCCUAAGCACAGGUGUUCUGCAUGACAGACGUUCUUAGUUGUGUAAACUUGCUGUUACAUUGUCCCUGGAAUGUUUGCACAGCAGGAAACCGUGAACUGGGAACAGUGGGAUGCACAGCAGGAAACCCUGAACUGGGAACAGUAGAAUGUAUUCUCCACUUACCCUUCUUCAUUGUGGUUGGAAGUGGUCCGUCGUUGAUUUAAGUCUGCAUGUGCUCUGAGCUCAGUUUCAAACACGAAUAAUCAGCUCUGCAGUGUAACAGGCUGCAGGUUCAUAUGCAUAAGUUGUUUCCUUUAAACACUUGUGCCAGAGACUCUCUUUCUAGUUAAUAGAUAGUCAAACAAAUGAAGGCUAUUUAUAGUAUGGCUUGCUGUGUGUGUGUGUGUGUGUGGAUCUUUCUCCGUGUGUGUUUGCAGUGUGUGUGU